RNAcentral lists this long non-coding RNA (2255 nucleotides) under Triticum aestivum (bread wheat). RNAcentral describes it as "long non-coding RNA (TAES_LNC006319)". The record is from RNAcentral. Lineage: Eukaryota; Viridiplantae; Streptophyta; Magnoliopsida; Poales; Poaceae.
AUGAAAUGUUCUUCCACAUGUUUUAUCAUUAUAAAAGAAAUCAAUUGGUUCGAUCCAUCACGAGCCCCUCAUACUGAAUAGCAAAGCGACUAAACAAGCAGCAAAUCCCUAAACUCCAAUUUAUUAUUACACACCAAAGUCGCACAACAGUUUAACCAAAGAACGGUGGCAAAACUCAGUCUGAUAAAUGGAUCAUCAAAGAAGAUUCAACGCAUCCAGAAGCAAGGCCGACAUAGGAGCUGUGCACCAUGCCAGGGACGUAGCCAGUCGAGGAAGUUCAGCCAGUGAUCCUUGGAACCCCCAGACGACGCCACCCCUGCGAUGCACUGUAUGCUUCACCCGCCACCUGCUCCAUGACUUUUGCUCCCAGCGUCAACACCCUUUGAUUUCCCUUCUUUAUCUGCAAAAUUGCCUAAUUUGUUAUCCACCGAAAUAUCAACUUGAUAAGCAUAAUACGGUCAUUUAUCAUCUUUCUUUCAAAAAUAAUAUCAUUUCUGCUUCUCCAAAUUGUCCCAGAGAUAGCGGUAACAACAACUAACACCUGUUUUUCAGUUCCAUUGUGAAAACUUUUAAUAUAGGUACUAAAGCACAAACUCAGAUUAUAAGGAAUAUAUCUCAAAUGAAAAGCACAUUUAAACAAACCCCGCUCUAGUUUAGCCACCAAACUCCUGAAGAAUAACUACUCAGAGCUCUCAUCAUUUUUCAGGGACCGAUCUAGCCUCUUUUCAGCCUAUUGUCUCUAGUUAAUAAGCUAUUUUGACCAUCGACCAAAGAAAGACUUUCAUUUUUUGUGGAAUUAUGUUUCCACAAAAAGGUGGAAACCCAUAAUAUUGAAUAGCUUAUGGUUUUGAUAAUAAGAAGACUGUCUACAGUUAACAUACACUUAAUAGAAUCCUUGUUGUUAGGCACCACAAUUUCCUCACAUCCUUUUUUGAUGCUACCCCGGAGAGCUAAAGUAUUACCCCACGUAGUUCUCAUAAAUCUAAAAUCCUCCCAGCCUUUCUGCAAGGUAUCAACUACAAUAAUAUUGUGAUCAAAACUAAAAUUGUGCAGUCUAGCAUAAGAGAUUUUAAAAGGUUUAAAUCAAGUAUUUUUGCCGUUACCCACUUUUUUGGAAUGCUGGUAGAAUAUAUCUUUUAUUUUCAUGAGACUCGACUAAAAAUGGGAGUUCCCGGUCUUAGUCUUAGUUGCAGAAAAGCAACCAUUCCGAACAUGUUUGUCAGGACAAUUGUUUGGUAGAGACCAUUUACAGUCUCUAACUUCCAUAACCAUUUAGCCAGUAUAGCAUUAUUCAUGAGGUCAAGAUAUCUAAUACCUAGGCCCGCAUGCUCUUUAGGUCUAAAGCCACUGGCCCAGUUUACUACAAGAUUUUUUUUCUUGUUGUCGUCUCAUGCUAAAUAAACCUAGCCAUGAAGAAAUUGGCACUUUUCUUCACACCAAUCGGGAUGCGGUAUAAAGACAUCAUAUAAGUUGAAUCCUCCCCUUAUGUUGUUAAAGAACCAAGGACAAACCAUCCCCAUCAGCAAUAUUAUAAUCAAAAUCAGUGGCUUUCUCAACUUUUGUUGAAAAUUCCAGGGAAGAACUAUUUGAAGCAUGCAAAUCACAUCUUUGAACCCUAUUUCUUGCAGCUACAAAUCCCCACGCCAUUACUUGGUACAGGAGAAUGUAAAAAAUUGUAGAGACCAUAAAUCUUACUCGAAAACGAAGCAACAAAACGGUCGCAGGAGUCCUCAUCGUCGGACUCCUCCCCGGACAGCAGCCAGAAUCGGCUGCCAGCCGAGAAGGCGCCUACUCAUCGGCGGCGCUCUGUGCAAGUGCCUGGAUCCGCGCAGAACGCCGGGGAAACCGAGGUGAGCGACGAGGCAGCUGUGAAACCACCUGGGCAACAUUUUGACUCGGCAACACCCGCACGUCGUUGUCAGUCAGGACGGGCAUCGUCGGACUGCGUGGCGGUGACCUCCCAGUCAUGGUCACCACCCGCACAUUAUCCCAGAUUGGGUCGGACGAAACCCAAUCGUACGACAAGUAGCGGUGCCACUGCUCGCGCCGCAUCGGAUCGCCGGACUCCGCCUCCAUCACCGCCCAAUAGAGGAUUUCGAGUGGGGCCUUCCCUAAGAUCCGACUCCGCUCCUCCUCCGAGGCAUGUUCAACCACCCGACGUGAUACUUGACGCAUCCCCUCCGCAUCCAUGUAUCGCCGAUAGAUCUCGCGGAGCUUUGCCAUCUUCGCCUCGUCGCCGCCCACGAUGGGAUCCC